Molecule: ribosomal RNA, 577 nt
Filed under: Microbacteriaceae bacterium BvIRHM043
Lineage: Bacteria; Bacillati; Actinomycetota; Actinomycetes; Micrococcales; Microbacteriaceae
Description: bacterial SSU rRNA
Rfam family: Bacterial small subunit ribosomal RNA
Source: RNAcentral
ACGGGUGAGUAACACGUGAGUAACCUGCCCUUGACUCUGGGAUAAGCGUUGGAAACGACGUCUAAUACCGGAUACGACCUUCGGAGGCAUCUCCUGGGGGUGGAAAGAAUUUCGGUCAAGGAUGGACUCGCGGCCUAUCAGCUAGUUGGUGAGGUAAUGGCUCACCAAGGCGACGACGGGUAGCCGGCCUGAGAGGGUGACCGGCCACACUGGGACUGAGACACGGCCCAGACUCCUACGGGAGGCAGCAGUGGGGAAUAUUGCACAAUGGGCGCAAGCCUGAUGCAGCAACGCCGCGUGAGGGACGACGGCCUUCGGGUUGUAAACCUCUUUUAGUAGGGAAGAAGCGAAAGUGACGGUACCUGCAGAAAAAGCACCGGCUAACUACGUGCCAGCAGCCGCGGUAAUACGUAGGGUGCAAGCGUUAUCCGGAAUUAUUGGGCGUAAAGAGCUCGUAGGCGGUUUGUCGCGUCUGCUGUGAAAACCCGAGGCUCAACCUCGGGCCUGCAGUGGGUACGGGCAGACUAGAGUGCGGUAGGGGAGAUUGGAAUUCCUGGUGUAGCGGUGGAAUGCGCAG